UACGAAGGGUGCAAGCGUUGUUCGGAAUUACUGGGCGUAAAGAGCGCGUAGGCGGUCUAUUAAGUCAGGCGUGAAAGCCCUGGGCUCAACCCAGGAAUUGCGCUUGAUACUGAUAGGCUCGAGAUUCAGAGAGGUGAGUGGAAUUCCUAGUGUAGCAGUGAAAUGCGUAGAUAUUAGGAGGAACAUCAGUGGCGAAGGCGGCUCACUGGCUGAAUACUGACGCUAAGGCGCGAAAGCGUGGGGAGCAAACAGG
This 253-nucleotide ribosomal RNA is filed under the name uncultured prokaryote. RNAcentral's name for it is "partial 16S ribosomal RNA". It matches the Rfam family "Bacterial small subunit ribosomal RNA", at positions 524 to 776 of the family's 1533-position model. The record is from RNAcentral.